Molecule: ribosomal RNA, 309 nt
Filed under: Triticum aestivum (bread wheat)
Lineage: Eukaryota; Viridiplantae; Streptophyta; Magnoliopsida; Poales; Poaceae
Description: partial small subunit ribosomal RNA
Source: RNAcentral
AUGUUUGCAAACGUUCCUUCUAUUACGGGCAGUAAACUCUGCCAUAAUCUAGUUGUUCCUGAAAAAAUCAAACACCCCAAUCAAGUUGCUCAGACGCAUACAGAAGGUGUGCUCACAGGGUCGGAUGGUGCUGGACUCGGGGGCAUCCAGGAGGAAGAGGCUCCCCACACCUUGCUUCUUCAUCCAUCGUUGUCGAGGACGGGGAUGAGGCAUCAGCAUGAGCGAACCCACUGCCGAGUCCAACAGAGGCAUGUGGAAGCGACCACCCCCGCGCUAGACCACGGGGAAGCAAGGCGCAGCUCGGCGUAG